GACGAACGCUGGCGGCGUGCUUAACACAUGCAAGUCGAACGGAAAGGCCCUGCUUUUGUGGGGUGCUCGAGUGGCGAACGGGUGAGUAACACGUGAGUAACCUGCCCUUGACUUUGGGAUAACUUCAGGAAACGGGGGCUAAUACCGGAUAGGAGCUCCUGCUGCAUGGUGGGGGUUGGAAAGUUUCGGCGGUUGGGGAUGGACUCGCGGCUUAUCAGCUUGUUGGUGGGGUAGUGGCUUACCAAGGCUGUGACGGGUAGCCGGCCUGAGAGGGUGACCGGCCACAUUGGGACUGAGAUACGGACCAGACUCCUACGGGAGGCAGCAGUCGGGAAUAUUGCACAAUGGGCGGAAGCCUGAUGCAGCAACGCCGCGUGCGGGAUGACGGCCUUCGGGUUGUAAACCGCUUUCGCCUGUGACGAAGCGUGAGUGACGGUAAUGGGUAAAGAAGCACCGGCUAACUACGUG
Molecule: ribosomal RNA, 468 nt
Filed under: uncultured bacterium
Lineage: Bacteria
Description: partial 16S ribosomal RNA
Rfam family: Bacterial small subunit ribosomal RNA
Source: RNAcentral